Molecule: long non-coding RNA, 802 nt
Filed under: Pan troglodytes (chimpanzee)
Lineage: Eukaryota; Metazoa; Chordata; Mammalia; Primates; Hominidae
Description: long non-coding RNA NONPTRT011787
Source: RNAcentral
GCUCAAGCUGUAUCUUUCCUAAAACUAGCCAGCUGGAUGAUAGAAAUGUCUCAGACAACGUGCCACCAGCCCAAAGAGCACAGACAUACUAAAGCAGAGGCAGCAGCUUCCCUGAAGCACGCACAGAGCUGGAAGAAGGAGAACACAUUCCAUACAUUUUUCUAGAAAGUCUAGUAUUGCUUUCACUUCCCUUGAGUCAUUUAGGUUUCUGAAAGCUAAUCAUCUCCCAGAAAAAAUCUAACAGAUGUGUGGAGCUGAUAACACAAAUCUCAGCAGAAUAGAGAAGCACACAAGACUAUGCCCAUCUUCCCACCCACACCGGAGAGCGAGCUGAGUGCAUACACAUGGACGCGUGGGGAGAAGAGGAGGUGACCAUCCGUCCCUUCACAGCAUGCUAACAAUUUUGUCAACUGGCUCUUCAACAUACUCAGACUGGGGUGGCGGGGGUGGGGGAGGACAGUUUCCUACAGACACAGUAGGAACAUGGCCUCUAGGCAUUAAAUUAACCAGCGGUUUCUUUGGCAUGUUCGAACAAGUCUAGAACCCAAAGCACAUAUGCUAAGGGGAGAGGAAAAUUGCCUACUUGAUAAAAAUAAGCGGUAUCUAACCUCUGAGCUCAGAGCUUGAUUUCUGAUGCCAGUUUGAUAAGACUGGCAAAUGCACUUCUUGGUAACAACACUGAGGCCAGUACGGGAGCACUGAGUAUUCAAGUCUCACACAUAGCAUGACUUAAGAAAUGACAGCAGCAUUAGGAAAUGUGCUAAAAUUUUAAAAGGUGUAACAACCCUGUCUUCUGGUUACC